Molecule: long non-coding RNA, 869 nt
Filed under: Malus domestica (apple)
Lineage: Eukaryota; Viridiplantae; Streptophyta; Magnoliopsida; Rosales; Rosaceae
Description: long non-coding RNA (MDOM_LNC001936)
Source: RNAcentral
UGUUUCUGCAGUUUCAAAUAUUUAGGGCAAUCUAGUUGUUUUCUAGGGUUUCUUAUUUGUUGGGUGAAUUGGGGUUGCUAAUUUUUAGGGUUUAUUUUAUGGGUUAAUUUUUGUGUAGAAUUUCAAUUAUUACGAUUGAUGUUCAGGUAUAAUCUCUGCAAUUUCAUGAUAUAGUUAUUAUUUUUACUCAAAAAAAUAAAAACAAAAAUACUAUACUGUUGCAAUCCUAUUGGAUUAGGAAUGUGAUUGUGUAAAUCCUAGUGUAUCUAGGAGUAUCUUUGUAUAUUCCCUUUAGUAGUUAAAUUCCUAUUAAAUUUGUAAUCCUAUUAGACUAAAGAUUUAACCUUCCCAGCUACUAUAAAUAAAGGCACAAUGAGGUGAUACAACACACACCUCAAACUUACAUCUCUCUCUUCUCUCUCUGUUGUUGCCGGCCCCUCUCCUUCUCUGUCCUAAAUACAGUUCAGUCAAAUAGGUCUGCUACACGUUAUCAGCACGCUCUUGGCAGAAGCUAAGGAAUUGAAGGAUUGUGGAUGAGGCUUUCUUCUACAGCAUCAAAUGCUUUCAAUUAUUUAUUGCCAAUCAGGUUCUUUUAAAAUAAAUUAAGAUAUUUAAAAAAAAACAUUGAAGCAUGAAAACAUUCCCCAUGAUGCAUAAACCCCUAUAUUUAUAUUUUCCUUGCAAUUAUAUAUAUUGUACAUGUUCAUAUAUUUUGUCAAUAUAUUUACUUGUUCAUACAAUACGCAAUUAUGUUAUGUGGAAUUUGUGAGUCAAAGCAUUGAAAUUAAUUUAGAAGCAAUUAGGGUUUUUAACCCUCGAAUUUAAAAAAAAAAAUUCUGGGAUUUUGCAACAUAAGUUGCGGCUCACCG